AGAAAAGCAGGGGAUCGCAAGACCUUGCGCUCUUGGAGCGGCCGAUGUCUGAUUAGCUAGUUGGUGAGGUAAAGGCUUACCAAGGCGACGAUCAGUAGCUGGUCUGAGAGGACGACCAGCCACACUGGGACUGAGACACGGCCCAGACUCCUACGGGAGGCAGCAGUGGGGAAUUUUGGACAAUGGGGGAAACCCUGAUCCAGCCAUGCCGCGUGAGUGAAGAAGGCCUUCGGGUUGUAAAGCUCUUUCAGCCGGAACGAAACGGUCACGGCUAAUACCUGUGACUACUGACGGUACCGGAAGAAGAAGCACCGGCUAACUACGUGCCAGCAGCCGCGGUAAUACGUAGGGUGCAAGCGUUAAUCGGAAUUACUGGGCGUAAAGCGUGCGCAGGCGGUUUUGUAAGUCAGAUGUGAAAUCCCCGGGCUUAACCUGGGAACUGCGUUUGAAACUACAAAGCU
Molecule: ribosomal RNA, 461 nt
Filed under: uncultured beta proteobacterium
Lineage: Bacteria; Pseudomonadati; Pseudomonadota; Betaproteobacteria
Description: bacterial SSU rRNA
Rfam family: Bacterial small subunit ribosomal RNA
Source: RNAcentral